GUGGAAGCACAGUGGAAUCCUGGAACCUGAACUUACAACCUGUCUCCUCCAACUAAUGGAUACCUGGACCCCUCCAUCCAACACUGGCACGAUUGCUGUGAAGAUCCUCUUUAGACCAUGGACACUGGGGAAUCCAAUGCCUCACAUUGCCUAGAUAAAGCACUCAGGAAACUCCAUGGAAGAGGAGAUAGAGUGUAAGAGCCAGAUGGAAUGGAAGACACCAGAAGAACAAGCCUCUCUACAUCAGCUGGGAAAAGCUCACAUGAAGUCACAGAGACUGAAGCAGCAAGCACAGCUCUCCAAUUAAGGUGAUACUUAGAAAUUACCUAGGGAAAAACAAAUAAAUGAAGCAAUAAAAAAUGAAUUAGGAGGGAAGAUGGAAAUGUGUGAAGGAUGGAAGAAAACACUCAAAGAAGUCAGAUCAGAAGAAUCACUGUCACAACAAAUUAAAGCUCUUAAUUGAAGGCCUGGAAGAAUGAAGCAAACUAUGACCAAUAGUUCUUUUUUACCAGGGAUGUAUAUACUCUCCCAGGUAACUUUGUACAUGAGGGUUUUGAUUUUCCCUUACCUCGUAGGAAGCUGGGAUUAUAGCUAUAUAUUGUUUCUACUUUUCU
RNAcentral lists this long non-coding RNA (614 nucleotides) under Cricetulus griseus (Chinese hamster). RNAcentral describes it as "lncRNA (ENSCGRG00015030116.1)". Lineage: Eukaryota; Metazoa; Chordata; Mammalia; Rodentia; Cricetidae. The record is from RNAcentral.